This 308-nucleotide unclassified non-coding RNA is filed under the name plant metagenome. RNAcentral's name for it is "partial contains 5.8S ribosomal RNA, internal transcribed spacer 2, and large subunit ribosomal RNA". The stretch from base 1 to 105 matches the Rfam family "5.8S ribosomal RNA", at positions 50 to 154 of the family's 154-position model. The record is from RNAcentral.
GAAAUGCGAUAAGUAGUGUGAAUUGCAGAAUUCAGUGAAUCAUCGAAUCUUUGAACGCACAUUGCGCCCUUUGGUAUUCCAAAGGGCAUGCCUGUUCGAGCGUCAUCUGUACCCUCAAGCUUUGCUUGGUGUUGGGCGUCUUGUCUCUAGCUUUGCUGGAGACUCGCCUUAAAGUAAUUGGCAGCCGGCCUACUGGUUUCGGAGCGCAGCACAAGUCGCACUCUCUAUCAGCAAAGGUCUAGCAUCCAUUAAGCCUUUUUUUCAACUUUUGACCUCGGAUCAGGUAGGGAUACCCGCUGAACUUAAGC